CACGAAGUUUGCCGGGGCUUAUUCUCCAGGUACCGUCAUUAUCGUCCCUGGCAAAAGAGCUUUACAACCCUAAGGCCUUCUUCACUCACGCGGCAUGGCUGGAUCAGGCUUGCGCCCAUUGUCCAAGAUUCCCCA
This 135-nucleotide ribosomal RNA is filed under the name uncultured bacterium. RNAcentral describes it as "partial 16S ribosomal RNA". The record is from RNAcentral.